RNAcentral lists this ribosomal RNA (342 nucleotides) under uncultured bacterium. Its description in RNAcentral is "bacterial SSU rRNA". It matches the Rfam family "Bacterial small subunit ribosomal RNA", at positions 28 to 372 of the family's 1533-position model. The record is from RNAcentral.
GAUGAACGCUGACAGAAUGCUUAACACAUGCAAGUCGAUUCGAUUUACCUUCGGGUAUUGAGGAUGGCGGACGGGUGAGUAACGCGUAAGGAACUUGCCUCUUGGACUGGGACAACUGUUGGAAACGACAGCUAAUACCGGAUAUUAUGAGAUUCUCGCAUGGGAAACUUAUGAAAGCUAUAUGCGCCAAGUAGAGAGCCUUAGCGUUCCGAUUAGCUAGUUGGUGGGGUAAUGGCCCACCAAGGCGACGAUGGAUAGCCGGCCUGAGAGGGUGAACGGCCACAAGGGGACUGAGACACGGCCUUACUCCUACGGGAGGCAGCAGUGGGAAUAUUGGACAAU